Molecule: small RNA, 251 nt
Filed under: Prolemur simus (greater bamboo lemur)
Lineage: Eukaryota; Metazoa; Chordata; Mammalia; Primates; Lemuridae
Description: 7SK RNA (ENSPSMG00000016787.1)
Source: RNAcentral
GACUGUGGGAACAAUCUGCGAGGUGCAUCUGUGGUCCCGCUGGUUGCCAGGUGUCUUGGAGACUUCCGUGCCAUCUCUCCCCUCGUGCCAUUUGCAUCCCUCCCGAGGCUGUGGGCUGCGUCCAAGAGAAUGACCUUCCUAGACAGAAGAGGGCAGCUCUCCAGGGAAAGAUACAGGAGCAACUUCCCUCUGCUGCUGGAACCCACGACUAUGGGAUUAAAAUGCUGUGUGUGCACAGUGAGACCGCUGUA